GACGAACGCUGGCGGCGUGCUUAACACAUGCAAGUCGAACGGAAAGGCCUGCUUUCCCUUGUGGAUUGCGGGUACUCGAGUGGCGAACGGGUGAGUAACACGUGAGUGAUCUGCCCCCAACUUGGGUAUAAGCCUGGGAAACUGGGUCUAAUUCCCGAUAGGACUGCAGGGUGGUGCCUGUGGUGGAAAACGAUUUUCUAGUGGUUGGGGAUGAGCUCGCGGCCUAUCAGCUUGUUGGUGGGGUAAUGGCCUACCAAGGCGGCGACGGGUAGCCGGCCUGAGAGGGUGGACGGCCACAUUGGGACUGAGAUACGGCCCAGACUCCUACGGGAGGCAGCAGUGGGGAAUAUUGCACAAUGGGCGGAAGCCUGAUGUAGCGACGCCGCGUGGGGGAUGACGGCCUUCGGGUUGUAAACUCCUUUCGACCGCGAGGAAGCCACCUGGUUGGAAGGGUGGUGACGGUAGUGGUAGAAGAAGCACCGGCUAACUACGUG
RNAcentral lists this ribosomal RNA (494 nucleotides) under uncultured bacterium. Its description in RNAcentral is "partial 16S ribosomal RNA". It matches the Rfam family "Bacterial small subunit ribosomal RNA", at positions 28 to 507 of the family's 1533-position model. The record is from RNAcentral.